CACAAUAUAACCAUUCAUAUACUUAAUCUCCGUCGGAUUUCGCAGUCGCACAUCCUGCAGCAUAGAACUGAUGUUCUUGGCGGUGUUCGCCAUCACACUCACGGCAAGGGUGCGCAAGCGAUCAGGCGCGAACCGCGCUUGUAUACCAGGAAUCCCCUGCAGUUCCGGCAAAGCGCAGAUGACAGCAGAGAUCUCAAGGAGGAGUAGUCGUUGGACACGGGAGAUAUGGUAGUUGUAGAGGAGGUCACCAUUGAAACAGUCGAAAAUGACGGUGAGAGGGUUGAUGAUGCAGUUUAUGGCCAGCUUUUCGAGUUGGUGUUGGAGGAAAGUGUCCGAAGGAACUGCGGCGGCGACUAGCUGGGUGUUACGGGUUAAGACCCGUAUUAGGUAGAG
RNAcentral lists this small RNA (393 nucleotides) under Histoplasma ohiense. RNAcentral describes it as "hypothetical lncRNA". Lineage: Eukaryota; Fungi; Ascomycota; Eurotiomycetes; Onygenales; Ajellomycetaceae. The record is from RNAcentral.